This 305-nucleotide ribosomal RNA is filed under the name uncultured bacterium. RNAcentral describes it as "bacterial SSU rRNA". It matches the Rfam family "Bacterial small subunit ribosomal RNA", at positions 333 to 632 of the family's 1533-position model. The record is from RNAcentral.
GGACCUCCGGGAGGCAGCAGUAGGGAAUCUUCGGCAAUGGGCGAAAGCCUGACCGAGCCCCUCCCCUUUCCUGAAGAAGGCCUUCGGGUUGUAAAAUUCUGUUAUAAGGGAAGAAAGGUGAUAGGAGGAAAUGACUAUCGAUUGACGGUACCUUAUGAGAAAGCCACGGCUAACUACGUGCCAGCAGCCGCGGUAAUACGUAGGGGGCAAGCGUUAUCCGGAAUUAUUGGGCGUAAAGAGCGCGCAGGUGGUUAAUUAAGUCUGAUGUGAAAGCCCACGGCUUAACCGUGGAGGGUCAUUGGAAA